Molecule: ribosomal RNA, 433 nt
Filed under: uncultured bacterium
Lineage: Bacteria
Description: partial 16S ribosomal RNA
Rfam family: Bacterial small subunit ribosomal RNA
Source: RNAcentral
AACGAACGCUGGCGGCAUGCCUAACACAUGCAAGUCGUACGAGACCUUCGGGUCUAGUGGCGCACGGGUGCGUAACGCGUGGGAACCUGCCUUUAGGUUCGGAAUAACUCAGAGAAAUUUGAGCUAAUACCGGAUGAUGUCUUCGGACCAAAGAUUUAUCGCCUUUAGAUGGGCCCGCGUUGGAUUAGCUAGUUGGUGGGGUAAAGGCCUACCAAGGCGACGAUCCAUAGCUGGUCUGAGAGGAUGAUCAGCCACACUGGGACUGAGACACGGCCCAGACUCCUACGGGAGGCAGCAGUGGGGAAUAUUGGACAAUGGGCGAAAGCCUGAUCCAGCAAUGCCGCGUGAGUGAUGAAGGCCUUAGGGUUGUAAAGCUCUUUUACCCGAGAUGAUAAUGACAGUAUCGGGAGAAUAAGCUCCGGCUAACUCCGUG